AGCGCUGUAUGGUAUCUGCAGCCAGCUGGUUGAUUAGCUGGUUUGUUCAAAAAUCAGUGCUAGACAAACUCAACAUCUGGCAUCGUUGGUCUCCAUGCUGCUUGUGCUUGGAGCCCCGGUAUAUUUGUUGAAACAUUG
Small nucleolar RNA from Mola mola (ocean sunfish), 138 nucleotides. NCBI's taxonomy places the organism in Eukaryota, Metazoa, Chordata, Actinopteri, Tetraodontiformes, Molidae. The record is from Ensembl.